GAGAGCUAGCAAAUCCCAUAAACCGUGGCUCAGUUCAGAUCGUAGGCUGCAACUCGCCUACGUGAAGUAGGAAUCGCUAGUAAUCGCAGGUCAGCAUACUGCGGUGAAUACGUUCCCGGGCCUUGUACACACCGCCCGUCACACCAUGGAAGUUGGCCAUGCCCGAAGUCGUUACUCCAACCCUUGUGGAGGAGGACGCCGAAGGUGGGGCUAAUGACUGGGGUGAAGUCGUAACAAGGUAGCCGUACCGGAAGGUGCGGCUGGACCACCUCCUAA
RNAcentral lists this ribosomal RNA (276 nucleotides) under uncultured Prochlorococcus sp. Its description in RNAcentral is "partial 16S ribosomal RNA". It matches the Rfam family "Bacterial small subunit ribosomal RNA", at positions 1259 to 1533 of the family's 1533-position model. Lineage: Bacteria; Bacillati; Cyanobacteriota; Cyanophyceae; Synechococcales; Prochlorococcaceae. The record is from RNAcentral.